GACGAACGCUGGCGGCGUGCUUAACACAUGCAAGUCGAACGGAAAGGCCCUGCUUUUGUGGGGUGCUCGAGUGGCGAACGGGUGAGUAACACGUGAGUAACCUGCCCUUGACUUUGGGAUAACUUCAGGAAACUGGGGCUAAUACCGGAUAGGAGCUCCUGCUGCAUGGUGGGGGUUGGAAAGUUUCGGCGGUUGGGGAUGGACUCGCGGCUUAUCAGCUUGUUGGUGGGGUAGUGGCUUACCAAGGCUUUGACGGGUAGCCGGCCUGGGAGGGUGACCGGCCACAUUGGGACUGAGGAACGGCCCAGACGCCUACGGGAGGCAGCAGUGGGGAAUAUUGCACAAUGGGCGGAAGCCGGAUGCAGCAACGCCGCGUGCGGGAUGACGGCCUUCGGGUUGGAAACCGCUUUCGCCUGUGACGAAGCGUGAGUGACGGUAAUGGGUAAAGAAGCACCGGCUAACUACGUG
This 468-nucleotide ribosomal RNA is filed under the name uncultured bacterium. RNAcentral's name for it is "partial 16S ribosomal RNA". It matches the Rfam family "Bacterial small subunit ribosomal RNA", at positions 28 to 507 of the family's 1533-position model. The record is from RNAcentral.